GCACGGCUUUGGCUGGACGGCAGGCCUGUCCCCCUGGGUCUCUCAGAUGCCCCGUGCCAGAGCAAACUGUGGCCUCGAACCAUUGCCUGACCUCUGCCCGGAGGCUGCAGGCAAUGAAGCAUGUUGCACAGGG
Molecule: small nucleolar RNA, 133 nt
Organism: Pipistrellus kuhlii (Kuhl's pipistrelle)
Lineage: Eukaryota; Metazoa; Chordata; Mammalia; Chiroptera; Vespertilionidae
Product: small nucleolar RNA SNORA42/SNORA80 family
Exons: 1
Source: RefSeq, a predicted model, not a curated record